Non-coding RNA from Elaeis guineensis (African oil palm), 742 nucleotides. Lineage: Eukaryota; Viridiplantae; Streptophyta; Magnoliopsida; Arecales; Arecaceae. The record is from RefSeq and is a predicted model, not a curated record.
UCCAAGAAGUAGGAAUUUUGGUUUUCAAUAUCCCUAUCUAUCAAUCUCCUAGUUUUUGUGCCUUUCUUCACUAUGGAGGUGGGCUUGAAUUCGAAUCCAUUCUAUUCUUCAUCUUUGGUGAGAGAUGAUAAGGUCCUACUGGGCCAGACUCUCUUCCACCAGAUGAUUAGGGAGUUGUUUGCUAUCACUUUGAUCAGUCACCUUCUUUUUCUAUUUUUUCUCCGAAGUCCAAUAUCCUAAAAAAUCUCUCUUUUCAUCAUUCUCUCUCUUUCUCAUUUUUGUUGCAGAGUAUCAAAGAAGGACUGUCAACUCUCUCUACGAUCUUGCUCCAAGGAAUGGUAUUCCGAUCGUAUCUUAAGGCGGAAUUUAUAGUGACGCUGGCUCGAUGAAUCAGAAAUUUGCUUUCAAACAGUGCUUAGCAUGCUUCUAGAUCUUUCUUUUUUGUUUCUGCUUCUUAAAGUCUACAGGCCAAUCCAAUCAGAUUUUCAGUCCUUUGAUCACUACAGUUGCAAUGUUGGUGAAUGACAGUAGUUGUGUCCAUGAAACAAUCAAUUCUGUGAGGAACGGCUUUAGUAAACUUGAAGGAGUACCUCUAUAAUAUGAGUGCAUGGCUCUUGCUAUUUGUUAAACCUUUUUCGUGUGUAACAAGGACGAGAUUUUUUUAAUUAAAGUCAUACUGAAGAUGUUUAGUGCUUUAUGCAAAAAAGUUAAAUCUUCAUUAGUGUUCAAUAUCUUAAAUAAA